CAACUUGGUUGAAAAAUGGCCACCCUUGGAUUCUGGCUUCUUCACGUCUCCCGUGUGUGAGGCGAACGGGAACUUCUCGGUGACGAGUCGGCUGAUGGUCCCUUAUGGUGAAUGGUACAACAGUGCGGUCUAUACCUGCCAGGUCACUCAUGGAGAGAACACUCAAAGUAAAAACAUCACCGCACUCCAGGAAGAUACCGAGUGCCACCCUAACACCGUUAAAAUCCUCCCACCGCCAGUAGAACAAGUCUUACUGGAGGCGACGGUGACGUUAACUUACGUUGUGUCCAAUCUUCCUUCUGGAGUCAAUGUGACCUGGAGACAAGAAAAGAAGCCUCUGAAAUCAGAGAUUGCUGAGCAGCCUGGACAGAAUCCCGACAGCGUGAUCAGCAAAUUAGACAUUUCUACUGAAGCCUGGCUGAGUGGCGUUACUUUUGAAUGUGUGGUGUACCAUCAGAAUCUACCGACUCCACUGAGAGACUCCAUCCACAAGGAGAAAGGUGAGCGGUGAGAUUAAAACACAAAG
Molecule: non-coding RNA, 526 nt
Organism: Chiloscyllium plagiosum (whitespotted bambooshark)
Lineage: Eukaryota; Metazoa; Chordata; Chondrichthyes; Orectolobiformes; Hemiscylliidae
Source: the annotation of a RefSeq genome assembly